RNAcentral lists this ribosomal RNA (503 nucleotides) under Naganishia albida. Its description in RNAcentral is "LSU rRNA". It matches the Rfam family "Eukaryotic large subunit ribosomal RNA", at positions 108 to 615 of the family's 3401-position model. The record is from RNAcentral. Lineage: Eukaryota; Fungi; Basidiomycota; Tremellomycetes; Filobasidiales; Filobasidiaceae.
CUCAAAUUUGAAAUCUGGUAGCCUUCGGUUGCCCGAGUUGUAAUCUAGAGAAGUGUUUUCCGUGCCGGCCCAUGUACAAGUCCCUUGGAACAGGGCGUCAUAGAGGGUGAGAAUCCCGUCCUUGACAUGGACCCCCGGUGCUUUGUGAUACACUUUCAACGAGUCGAGUUGUUUGGGAAUGCAGCUCAAAAUGGGUGGUGAAUUCCAUCUAAAGCUAAAUAUUGGCGAGAGACCGAUAGCGAACAAGUACCGUGAGGGAAAGAUGAAAAGCACUUUGGAAAGAGAGUUAAACAGUACGUGAAAUUGUUGAAAGGGAAACGAUUGAAGUCAGUCAUGCUCUUGGGACUUACCUCCCUUGAGUGGGGUCAACAUCAGUUUUGAUCGAUGGAUAAAGGCACGGGGAAGGUAGCACUCUCGGGUGAACUUAUAGCCUCGCGUCAUAUACAUUGAUUGGGACUGAGGAACGCAGCAUGCCUUAUGGCCGGGAUUCGUCCACGUACAUG